Molecule: non-coding RNA, 2168 nt
Organism: Anas platyrhynchos (mallard)
Lineage: Eukaryota; Metazoa; Chordata; Aves; Anseriformes; Anatidae
Source: RefSeq, a predicted model, not a curated record
AGCAAGAGCUGCAGAACAUAUGCAGACACUGAAGCACCAUCUCACCUGCUUGAGAAACCCCAAACCAGAUGGUGUUAGAGUAUUGUCUGGAGUUUAGAAGGGAGGGGUGGGGAGCAGGCUGAAAUUCAUGUCCUACUUGUCAGCAAAGUGAGCUACAACAAGGUCUGCAACCAAACUUUAAGAAAGGACCAGAACCAGCUGGAUUGCUUUCUGAAGAUGGGGAGCAGCAGGUUCCCAAAUGUAAUAACAGCACAAGAAGCUUCAUAGUGGCGAAGUUUGGAAUAGGACCACGCAGCACAAACAGGAACCACGUCCUCCCUCUGCCAGCCAGCUGGGAGAGCCCAGUGUGCACUACUGGAGGGCGAGUGGCCAGCUCCCCAGCAGCACUGCUGCUCUUUGCUGUGGCCAAGGGCAGGGCUUUGCACCUGCAGCUGUUACUAAUAGUCUUCAUCUGAGAGAGAAAGGGGCCCCAGCUACUGCUCAACUCAUCCAAAUCCUUAACAAGGCAAAAAGGAGGCUAGUGGCGGUUAUGUUUAGGUUCUUGGUUGCUCUAGGGCAGGAAGAUGUGUGUGUUGCCCUUCCACUCAAAGCAAUUAAUCAGCCACUCAUCAUGUGAGAUCUGUGUGGAGAAAGAGAGUACGAGGAGUUCUGGAGCAGGAGGAAGUGAACAAGGAGAGCCGACAUCUGACAAGUUGUCCUUUAUUUUUUCUGCUUACACAACAAACAUGAACUCUUGCAGCUCUCAUAGGAAAGGAGCAAGUGGUGACUCUGCCUGUGCUAACAGGAGACUGCAAAAAUCCAGCGGGACCCUGAGCCCACAGUAAAGAUUCCUGCUACGACAGCACAACACCUGCCCCAUCUCCUCUGGCAGCAGAAAUGGUGUAAGCCUCUGUGGGCAAGCUGUGAGCCUGUUAACUCAGAAUAGGUACGACUGACUCAAUGAUAACAGCCAAGAUCCCUUCUCUGCUUUCUUCACUGCUCGCAGAGGUGCAGCGCAGCAUUAGCAGCUGCAGCAGCGGGGGGAGCAAAGUCCUCAGCGUGCCGCUCUCCACAGAGGGGAAAGGUCAGCAGGAAAACACAGCCCCGAGCUCUGCCAGGUGCACGAUGUUUUGCAGCAGCGCCGUUGCAGCCACAAGCAAACACCACUGCCGCAUUUCAAGUUUUGGGAUUGGGGUGCCUUCACCGAACAGUUCCCUGGUGCUUUAGGGGGUUGCCUUUCCUUCAAGGCCUCUUCAACUACAUUCCUGUCCCAGUGUAACUCUUGGUUUAGCACAGAGCCUAAGAAAGCUGGCACAGGUGAUAUGUUUUAAUACUCCAAGCCACCUGCUAGCUUUAGAGGCCUUCCCAGUGCACAGGCUGGGAGGUGCCACGGCCUUUCACUGGGAGUCCCUCACCCCAACCUAGGCGAGGAGGCUGCAGCUGGCUGCCAGCACCCUGUGGAGAGGGGCGAUGCCACACGGCCGGCUGUGAGGCCUGGGCAGCUCACGGGGCUCGCGCAGCAGCCCUUGUGCCCGGCCCCUCACACACCCGAUGUCUGUCACAGCCUGGCACUUACGCUCGGUGCAGUACUCUCCGGUCCAGCCGGGCAGGCAGGCCAGGCUGCCAUCAGCCUCGCAGACGUAGUGGCCGAAGCGGUCAUCACGGCGCUUGCAGAGGCGCGAGCAGCUGUCCCCGUAGUAGUUCUCGCUGCAGACCACCCGGUAGGAGUAGCGCAGCUGGGUCAGCGGGCCCUUCUGCACGUCCUGCGACCAGUCCUCGCCCACCGCCAGCGACCGCUGGAUCGCCAUCUGGCUGAUGAGCCAGUCCUCGGACGGCAGCUGGGAGCCUGGGGGACAAGGGACGGUGUCAGCAGCCUGCUACCACCACCACCAUCACCACCACCACCAUCAAAGCCAUCACCACCAUCAUCACUACCUCCAUCACCACCACCACCGCUGUCUGCCCCCGGAACCCCUGUCCCAAAUAUGUGUGUGCAGUGGCCCCACUGAGGAGGGUUGGAGCGUUAAUUUGGUGCCCCCGGUUUCGGUGAGCGUUAACCCAGGCUGCGGGGGCUCUGCGGAGAGAGGCCUUUCAAAGCGAGGGCUGCUGUGCUGCUGGAAUAUCCUUUUUCCUCUCUUGUCAGAAAAACAUCCCAAAGCCAUUAUUCCUUUCCAAAGGGCGGAAUUCGA